This is an RNA transcript of Populus nigra (black poplar), 2467 nucleotides long. It is a transcript of the gene named protein KINESIN LIGHT CHAIN-RELATED 1-like, with no coding region annotated. The record is from RefSeq and is a predicted model, not a curated record. The transcript has 4 exons. Lineage: Eukaryota; Viridiplantae; Streptophyta; Magnoliopsida; Malpighiales; Salicaceae.
GCGAUUGCUGAGGAACGAAGCAAAGCAUGGUGUUCUUAUAGCGUAAAAAGAAAGAAAGAAAGAGAACAGCACAGUAAAGCCUGACUGCGGCAGAGCUGAUGGAUUUUGUGUCUCUGUUUCUCCCUUUUUUCGUUGUAAAGCUUGUUGUCAAAUUAAAAUACUCAAACUGCUUCAUCAUUAGAAGUCUCUUCCAAGCCACCACCAUUAAUAAUUAAGCCCUUUGUGCCAGAAAAGAGAAACCCAUUAAUUUUUCCACUCUAUUUAUCCAAAACCAUGCAAUGUGAAUCAAAACAUAGCCGCUUUCAGUUUCAGCUCUCCUUUGAACCGUAAAAACUAAUCUGUAUUGCGGAUUGCUGGUUUUUUUUGUAACUAUGUUGGGCCUAGUCUCUGCAAAAACCACACCAAAUGCCACACCACAACAUGUUUCCUUUCCUCAAAACGACAAUUGCAUCCAUAAAAACGGCUAUGAAACUCCAUCUCCGCUACUAAAACGAACCCCAUCACCCUCCUUCUCCAAACCAAAAAUCAACCCUCCUAACAAGACACUGCAAGAACUACGCACCCAUGAGUCGUCUCUUGAUAACCCGGAUCUGGGUCCCUUUUUAUUAAAGCUUGCCAUAGACACCGUAGCUUCUGGUGAUAACCAGAAUAAGGCCUUGGAUUAUGCGGCCCGUGCGUCCAUAUCGUUUGAGAAAUCCUCGGGUCCCAGUCUGGACCUGGCUAUGAGCUUGCAAGUUGAAGCAGCGAUCUAUUGCAGCAUGGGCCGGUUGGAGGAUGCAAUUCCGGUUCUAGAACGGUCUAUUGAGGCUCUGGAUCAUAAAAACGGGUCGGAUCAUGCGGUGGCGAAGUUUUCCGGGUUCAUGCAGCUUGGUGACACGUAUUCUAUGCUGGGGCGAGUAGACCGUUCCAUAUCGUCUUAUGAGUCGGGUUUAAAGAUCCAAACUGAGACUCUCGGGGAUUUGGAUCCAAGUGUUACUGAGACUUGCAGGUACUUAGCCGAGGCUUAUGUUCAAGCAAUGCAGUUUGACGAGGCAGAAAAACUAUGCCAAAGGAGCCUUGAAAUUCACAGGGUGCAUAAUGCCCCAGCAUCACUUGAAGAGGCUGGUGAUCGCCGGCUUAUGGCUCUUAUUUAUGAAGCAAAGGGGGACUAUGAAUCUGCACUUGAGCACCUUGUCCUUGCUAGCAUGGUAAUGAUUGCUGCUGGUCAGGAAAAUGAAGUUGCUGCCAUUGAUGUUAGCAUUGGCAAUAUCUAUGCGUCCCUUUGUCGAUUUGAUGAAGCCAUUUUUUCCUAUCAAAAAGCCUUAACAGUCUUUAAAUCCAUAAGAGGAGAUGAUCACUGUACCAUUGCAUCAGUCUAUAUUCGCUUGGCAGAUGUGUAUUGUAAGACAGGCAAGCUAAGAGAAUCCAAAUCAUAUUGUGAGAAUGCCCUGAGAAUACUUUCAAAGCCAGUGCCUGGAAUUGCAACCGAGGAGAUUGCUAGUGGGCUGACUGAAAUCUCAGCCAUCUAUCAAGCUUUAAAUGAGCACGAGGAGGCGUUGAAGCUCUUGGACAUGGCAAUGAAGUUGUUGAAGGAUACCCCAGGGCAACAUAGCAUGAUUGCGGGAAUAGAAGCACAUAUGGGGGUGAUGUUUUACAAGGUUGGAAGGUACGGUGAGGCUCGAAGUUCCUUUAAAAAUGCUGUAGCAAAGCUCCGGGCUAGUGGGAAGACUAGAUCAGUCUUCUUUGGGAUUGUGUUGAACCAGAUGGGAUUGGCCAGUGCACAACUGUACAGGAUAGAUGAGGCAGCUCAGUUGUUUCAAGAAGCAAGGGAGAUUUUAGAGCAGGAAUGUGGCUCAUGUCACUUGGAUACGAUUGGAGUGUAUAGCAACCUUGCAGCAACUUAUGAUGCUAUGGGAAGUCACUUAUUUGGCUUUAUCAUACCGUCGAACCAGGCGAAACUCUUCAUUUUCUACAAAGCAUGGCAAUCAUUUUGCAUAGGCUGGUUUUGACAAUUGGCAUGUAUAGUUUCCAAACGGGAUAACAUUCACCCUUUACUACUGGUUCACCGAAGGUGCCUACCAGGAAUAACGAUCCCCCCCCCCCCCCCCCCUCAAUAUCUACUCCAGAUGUUCUUAGAUUGUCUUGAAAUCCUCGUAUUUUGCUUGGUAAAAUCUUCAACCUGACUAUAUGGGACCUAUUUAUGAUUAUGGCAUUUUGCUUUGGCAUGUUUUGGAUUGGACCAUCUAUUCACUCAUCUUACAUGCUGGGUGAUAUUUGAAGCCAUAGUGUAUUCACUCAAUGUCAUGUGGCAUAAUGCAUUGCAAAAAGUCCGGCAAGUCCCUGAUGCAAGUUUCAGUGGGGUAGAAGAUGCAACUGUGAUAUUGGAGUACAUACUCAAGUUGAGAGAAGAAAAACUUGGAACAGCAAAUCCAGAAGUUGCCGAUGAGAAGGAAAGGCUAGCCAUGCUAUUGAAGGAAGCAGGGAGGGC